AGAGUUUGAUCCUGGCUCAGGACGAACGCUGGCGGCGUGCCUAACACAUGCAAGUCGAACGGAGAAUUUCAAAGUGUUUACAUGGCGAAAUUCUUAGUGGCGGACGGGUGAGUAACGCGUGGGUAACCUACCCAUAAAGCCGGGACAACCCUUGGAAACGAGGGCUAAUACCGGAUAAUCUUAAGUUUUGGCAUCAAGAUUUAAGGAAAGAUGGCCUCUGAAUAUGCUAUCGAUUAUGGAUGGACCCGCGUCUGAUUAGCUAGUUGGUGGGGUAAAGGCCUACCAAGGCGACGAUCAGUAGCCGGCCUGAGAGGGUGAACGGCCACACUGGGACUGAGACACGGCCCAGACUCCUACGGGAGGCAGCAGUGGGGAAUCUUCCGCAAUGGACGAAAGUCUGACGGAGCAACGCCGCGUGUAUGAUGAAGGUCUUCGGA
This 437-nucleotide ribosomal RNA is filed under the name uncultured bacterium. RNAcentral's name for it is "bacterial SSU rRNA". It matches the Rfam family "Bacterial small subunit ribosomal RNA", at positions 8 to 422 of the family's 1533-position model. The record is from RNAcentral.